RNAcentral lists this transfer RNA (91 nucleotides) under Nocardiopsis mwathae. Its description in RNAcentral is "tRNA-Asn". It matches the Rfam family "transfer-messenger RNA", at positions 285 to 374 of the family's 374-position model. From Rfam's summary of the family: Bacterial tmRNA, also known as 10Sa RNA or SsrA, is named for its dual tRNA and mRNA-like properties. Its role is to liberate the mRNA from a stalled ribosome. To accomplish this part of the tmRNA is used as a reading frame that ends in a translation stop signal. The record is from RNAcentral. Lineage: Bacteria; Bacillati; Actinomycetota; Actinomycetes; Streptosporangiales; Nocardiopsidaceae.
GGAGCCGAGUAGAACGGCAGCACGAACUGCACCCGGAGAAGCCCUGUUGCGGUGCUGAAGGACGCGGGUUCGAUUCCCGCCACCUCCACCA